CUUGUCAGUAUUUCCAGUUCCGCCCCUCUUCAGGGCACAUGAAGUGAUCACAUUCCUUGCUGCCUUGGGAUAAGUCACCGCUCUGACCAAUGAAAUGGGGAGUGGAAGUGACGUGGGUGGGAGCUUUAAGAGCCAGGAUUCAGUCGGCCAUGCUUUUUCUUUUGCUCUGUCACCCAAACUGCUGUGUUCCACAUACUGGCUUCAUCGUCUCGGGUCUAGGAGUGAGGAGGAUGCAGAGCGGAGCUGCGCCAACCACAGCAGACAUCUAGAGUUCAAGGAAGAGUAGGGGAAGAAACAGCAGAGGAAACUCUUCCAGAACUAGUGAUUCACAGUGGACCUGCGUGGAGAGCAUGGGAGCCCAUGGUUUGGGACACCAGUGGCAGAAUCAACACACCAGCGCUGGAACACAAGUUCAUUGAGAAGAGAAGGAAUUAAUAUUUUGAAACUAUGGCAAGCGUCAAGUCAGCUACCUGCUUUGAAUACAUUUUCUCAAGGGCUGUGUAAUAUUUCAACCAGGAAGUUCUUUAUCCAGUCAUCAGUUGAUGGACAUCUCAGUUGAUUCCAUAUCUUAGGGACCCCAGUCUGCAGCUGUGAGGAGGUGGCGUGGAGUCUGCCUUUUAGUGAGGGUGAUCCUCCAAGCCUGCAGCUCUAAAAGACUCACAUGGAAGCUCUCUAGAAAACAGAUGGAUACAAGAUUGGCCCCUGCUAAACAGGGUAUGUUCCUGGAGCAAAGAAAACACCACCAGCUUCCCCACUUCAUUAGUCACCUCCUGCUUACUCCUCAGGAGACUGACCCUAGAUUUCCUCCUCUCCUAAAAACUGACUGUGCUACUGUCCCAAGGGCAGCCCAGAAGUUCAUCCAGUUCCCAACCUAGCACGGUCAGCAGGUGCCUGGGGUCCUGACUCUGCCUAGAAACCACUGCCACCUGCCUCUGAAGCUUUCUCACCGCUGCCUGGGAUGACUGGAUCUCUUUCCUACCAAAUGGUACAGAACAGUUUUUCUUUUUCUCCUCUUCUGGCCCAUGAAAUUGUAAGCACAAAGCAGAAAUGCAGGCAGGAUCAAGGCUAUUUGUCAUUAGAGGUCUACUAAAUUACCUGCUUUGCCUAUUGCCCAACAUUCCCUCCGACCAGGACUCAUCCAAGGAAUUGCCUGCCUGCGAGAAAUCUGGGGAGGCGUUCUGAGACACAUUUAUACGUUGUUUGUUACCAGCUCAAAAGCAUAUGGAUGGCUUGAGUGUCAUCAGCUGGCUGGGAUCUGGAUCGAAGAAAAGGAUCAGGAAUCACCCAGGGAGGAAACUAUAUGUAUGUUUGGGAGCCCAUGAUAUCACAGCAGAACCCAUAAAUACAUGACAUCAGGUGAAACAGAACACAAAAUCACCGAAAUAGAAGUCUGGGGCAGGAGUGAAGUCAUUAUUGGUUUGGAUGAUAUACAUAUGGCAGUCAUUCUAGGUAAGUCUUUCUCAGUCUGUUUUUUAAAUCAUCAUUCCCUUAUGUGUCUUUAUAGACAUUUUUCUCUAAUCAUUACCCCCAUGAAAUUUACACACUGUGAUGUACAUCUGCUGAUGUACUUAUUCUUAAUAUCUAACGUGUUUUUACCUAUUUUGUCUUUGCUCCUUUGUGGGUGAUAUUGUUCCUACUGGGAACUCAUGUUUUAGAUGAAUUGGGACAGGUUAAGUGAAUGCAGGCCUAGUGAGGAUAGAAUGUACCUCAGAAAAUAAGAGGCAAGGGACAAGUAAGGGAUUCAGAGUUAGGAGGGUAAGAAGUAAAUUGAAGAAUUAGAAGGCAAAGGUGUCUUGGUCAGGUUUUGAUCUAGGGUAUAAGAACAGUAAUUAGUAUCCAUAUUAUCCAACAUAUUUUCUUUUUUAUAGCUUUGCACUAUAAAUUUUUCUAGACAGAUAUGAGGUUGGAACAGUACCUAACUCAUAAUGACUUCAGCCUCAGAAUGAUUGUAUGUAAUUAUGAGAUGUUGUAUGUAUCACUGCUCCUCCCAAAGUGAUCAAACUGAUUCUGAGACAAAAUGAGAAUGUGAAAAGUCUAUAUACCCUGUAACCAUAUUUCUAAUUGGCUUUUUUUAGCAUUGAUUUUUAUUUGAAAGGCAGAGAGAGAAACAAAGAAAGAUGUCCCAUCAACUGGUUUACUCCCAAAAUGCCCACAACAGCUGGAGCUGGGCAAGGUCAAAGCCAGGAUCCCAGAGUUCAAUCCAGGUCUCCCACAAAGUCAGCAGGAAUCUAAGUGUUUGAGCCCUCCCAGGGCAUACAUUAAAAAUAAGCCAGAUUGAAAGGGCAGCCAGGACUCAAACCCACACACACACCCCAAUAUGGGAUGCAGGCUUCCCAAGUAACAUCUUAAACACUGCAUCUAUGGUCUGUUCCUAAAUUCGAAGCUUUAGAUUCUAAUAAAGCAAGUUUUCAACCAUCUUGGACCCCUUCCUUAUUUUGCCUUCCUUUUCUCUCCACUACUCAAUCCCUGCAUUAAAUGAUAAAAUGAAGGUAAUCUGAGCCUGGAGGAAGGUGUGCACCGAGAUGCUGUGGAGAGAUCCCUUGGUGACAUUUUCUAAAAGUGAAAAUGGGUGUAAAUAAGGCCCAUUUCCACAGUAAUGUAAAUUUAAAAUUUAAUUCAUUUUAUGAGGUAAAAAUACCACCUCUGACAAUUGUCUGACAGUAACUUUCUUAAAACAGUAUAAGCUUGGAACUCACAACAUGAUGUCAUGAGCUAAUGAUGUAAUGAUGAACAGAAAAAGGAAAUCUCAAUUCAAUCUUGGAUAUAAGAAGAGAGGUGAUAACUAGGUAUUUUCCAGGAUUUUCUAGUACUUUCCAAGGUAAUAGGCACCAUAGCCAUCUGAGAAAAUGCUCAUUCUCGGCAGAUCUAUCCUCAAAGUGAAGAUGAGUAUCACAGCUCCAUCACCGUGGAACAGCAUCUGUUAACUUAUUUCAUUCUGACUCAAGCAAAUUUCUGAUUCAAAUUCAGCCUCACAAAUUGGUCCUCUAACCAACGAAGAUUCCUCAGCUGACCCACUAUUAAGUUUUCUCACCAGCUGAAAAUGGUAUUUUUCAUUGAAAAUUUAUUAGCUGGCAUUCUACAUUUUAAAUAAGCCCAUUGUAUGCAUUUAAAUUAUAGCAUGGUAUAAAUCUAAAUCCAUAAGUUCCUCCCAUUCUCCAUCUGUUCCUGUGAGGAGAUAGAUAAAUAGGAAGUGAGGUCAGGUCCCUUAGGGAAUGAAAAAAGGGGGAAGUCUCUUUAAGAAUGUACAAAAUGCAAGCUUUGCCCAAAAGCUACCUCUGGCAAGACAAAAGUGCCGAUCCCACCCUUCUGAGUUUAUUGUGGAAAUAGAAAGAAGUUGCCUAUCCUCUCCUCCCCCUUCUGAUGGUUUUUUUUGUUUUAUGGCGAGCAGGCUAGACAGGACCAAAAUUCAGAGCUUCUGAUGGGUUUGUCCCUGCCCUUUGAUUGAUUGAUCCCUGAGUUGUGUUUUAAAGGCCCUACUGGAACCAGUUUCUCAGGUCCUCUCUUGGAGCCCCUCUCCUGGCUGCUAUGGCAGAAGGUUUCACUUAAUGCAGGAAUGUAAGUAGUGACUUACAUGAACCUUGCUUUGUUUACUGCCUUGUCCACAUGGAAAUUCUUCUAUGUGAUGCAAGAACUAAGGUCACCUUCCUUCACUGCCGUUCCCAUGUAAGAAUCCUUUACCCUCUAUCUAUGCAUUUACCCCACCACCUUCCCAUAUCACUUAAUCAAAAGCUAAGGCAUUAUCUGAAAAUUCUUGUUUCCCUUGGUCCUUCAAUUAAACCAGUCAUUAUAGCUUGCUGAUUGCUCCAUGUCCCAACAUUCUUGCAUCACCAGGGCUGCUAUCUUAGUCCCUUAUCAGUUCUCUCCAACCUCUACAAAGGUCUCUGUACCGCUGAUUGUUCUUUCAAAUCAGGUAUUGCCUUUAACAGCACUACUGCAGCUGUAACUGACAUGGCUAAAAUGAUUCAGGCCCGAACUUAUUGUUGUGUUUCUUUUUCUAUUCCUCAACUCGGGUUUGGUCUUUGCAUUGGCCCUCUCCUUUCAGAAGAAACAUUCUCUGUGGCUGCUGCAGAGGCAUUGACCAAAUCUCCAAUAGGGACUUGCUGUCCAGCUGAGGGAGUUCAAUCAGCAACAACCUCCAGCCAUGAGCUCCUUUGGUAUCUGCCUCAGUUGCAGAGACACCCUUCACUCCAGGUCAUGCUGUUCCCAAGGUUGCAUGUGCAUGGUGACUAAGCAGAGCAGAUCAGCCACUUUGGGUCCAUGCAUGUCAGUCAUGGGCUCUGCUCACUCCAGAGCUCACUGCCAGACUGAGACUUUGUCAGGCUGCUACCACAAUUCGGCUUCUCCUUCUGCCCCAUCAUGCAUCUCUUCUCAUUCCUACUCUAAAGAGUCAGCCCUGAUAACCACCUGCAUUUCCCACUUCAUCUUCCACCAGCUGGCACAGUGUCUGUCUCCAGAGAACCCAGCCUAUCACAGGAAGUUACAUGGCUGACAGUUAGGAUUCCAAUGUACCCCAACUCCAUGAUCCCAGCAUCAAGAACUAUCAUUCCUCUUCUUGCUGUGCCUAGAACAAUCCUAAGAUAGAUUCUGAUUCAGUCUAUUUGGUUCAUCUUCAAUUCUCUGGGACUAAUUACUAGGGCCACAACAGCCCCAUCAGGACCAAAAAGUUAUCCAAUGGAAGAAGAAAGGUGUCCCUGUAGUCCCUUCAAUAAUCAGCUAAGGGCUUUUUCUAAACCACAGAUCUAAAUCUGCUUUUCCUUUGUUUAAGCAUCAACUUUCUCCCAUUGCCUAUAAUAAAAUGUUGGUGAAAAAAUAUUCAUUAUAAUGCAAAACAUCCUCAAACAAAAAUUACAUAUUACUCUUCAUUAUUGGGCAGAGUAAUUCUCUAAAAAUGUAUUCUGCCUCAAAUAGGGAUUAUUUGGCUGGUGCCGCGGCUCACUAUGCUAAUCCUCCGCCUGCGGCACGUGCACCCCGGGUUCUAGUCCCGGUCAGGGCGCCGGAUUCUGUCCCAGUUGCUCUUCUACCAGUCCAGCUCUCUGCUGUGGCCCGGGAGUGCAGUGGAGGAUGGCCCAAGUGCUUGCGCCCUGCACCCGCAUGGGAGACCAGGAGAAGCACCUGGCUCCUGGCUUCGGAUCAGCGCAGCGCGCCAGCCAUAGCAGCCAUUUGGGGGGUGAACCAACGGAAAAGGAAGACUUUCUGUCUGUCUCUCUCACUGUCUAACUCUGCCCAUCAAAAAAAAAAAGGGGGGGGGGUAUUUAUUUGUGUAAAAUGACACUCAGAGGAAUUCAGUCGUUCUCUUUAGUUCAGCUGCUUAGGUAUGGUGUGGAGGGCUAAAACCUUGUCAGUUCUCAUGAUUGCAACAUGGCUGCCAAGGCUCUAGCCAUCAUGCCUUCAUUCAAGAUAGAACACACCAGAAAGGAAGAUGACACAGGAAGGAUUUCCCAAAACCACCCCAAAUGCAAACCCCACCAGAUUCCCAGUAACAUUAUAUAGGCCAGAAACGAAUCACAUAAAAAUCCUGGUUGCAAGGGAGAUGUUUUAGAAAGUAAGGCUAUUGUAGGAGUUAUCAGUAGAGGACAGAUUUAUACUUAGCUAGAAAAGAGACAAGGUGAAGACUCAGGGGUGUUAGGGACAAUGAAAUGCUGGUAGAACUGAAGGAGGCAAAGCAUCAUUUGGAGUGAUGCUUUCAGAUGGAGGGAAGGAGAAUGACAGAGGUGGGCAAAGAGUCGAAAAUUUUCAAUUGAGAUUGACUGGAGUUGGUCGGAACUAUCUGUAACCAUGAGAUAGAUCGAAACACAGGAGUCAGGGGCUAAGUGGAGGACGGGGCAAGGAAACAGGAGAUACCUCUGUCUUAACAGUUUUUUUUUUUUUAAUUUUUAUUUAUUUGAGAGAUAAAGAGGUCUUCCAUCCAUUGGUUCACACCCCAGAUGGCCACAAUGGCUGGAGCUGGGCCAGUCCAAAGCCAGGAGCCAGCAGUUUCUUCCAGGUCUCCUCUAUGGGUUCAGGGACCAAAGCACUUGGGCCAUCUUCUACUGCUUUCCCAGGCCAUAAGCAGAGAGCUGGAUCAGAAAAGGAGCAGCCAGGACAUGAACUGGCAACCCAUAUGGGAUGCUGGCACCAGCAUUGGCCCCCUAUCUUAACAGUUUUUAUAGGCCUAACUUGUACCUGUCACAGAGUAGCACAAGGACCAACAACUCAUAAACUGACUUUCCAGACCAUGUUAAUAUAUACUGUUUUUUUUUUAAAUGUUCAUUUAUUUUUAUGUAUUUGAAAGCUCCAUUUGGGUCUCCUACAUGAGUAACAUGUGAGUAGCAAAGACCUAUGUACUUGGACUGUCUUGCGCUGCUUUCCCAGGCAGGAGCUGGAACAGAGGCAGAGCAACCAGGACCCAAACCAAUGCUCCAAUGUGGGAUGCCACUGCACCACAGCACUGGCACCCCAAGCAGUGUCUUAACCACUGCACCAAAUGCCUACCUCUCCUCUACAACUGUGAUCUGUCUCCUGACAUCUAGAUUGUCUUGUCAAACAGCUUUCUCCUCUCCAGCAUUCUGUAUGUGCCUAAUCUCAACACGCCCAAAGGUCAAAUCACCAUCCCUUAGUUUCGAGCAACUCAUCAUUCUCUUAUGUUCCCUGGUUGGGAAACUUCAAACUUUUUAAAUUAGCAUUUUCUUCAAAACUUUAAUGUAUAAACAAAAGUUCCAAUUCUUCCUUCUGCCAGAACACUGUGAAUAAAUCAGGAAUCAUCUUGAUUCUGUGUGGUCACACACAUAAUUUGUCAUUGAUAGAAUUCUUUAUACUGCUGUUUAUUUAAAAAAUGGGAUAAACCUAUAUUUUCUGAACACUAAUUUAAAGGUUCCUCAAUGGCUACUAAAGCUAGUAUGUAACACACUGAUCCUAAUAAUCUAUGGGUUAUGUUUCAAUUAUUUUGUUAUCUUUGCUUUUCAUAGUAGCUAUCACCUCUCAGGUAUUUCAUUGUCUUCUAAACUCAGCAAUGAAAGGAUAAAGAUUAUGAUUAUCGUGUUCACUGUGUGUCCCUACUACUUAGAGAAAGGUCUACUAUCAACUAGACACUUCUUGAAUGAGCACAUGGAUGAUUAAUAUCACAAUGGCAAAAAAAAAAAGUGUUGCUAAAACAGGAGUUAAAAUCUAUUGAGAAUGCACUGUGGGCCAGUACUGAGAGGAUAUACUAUGUGUUUAUAUGCACUUUUUCUUUUGUUACUCAGAACCUAUGAAGUAAAUAAUAUUACUACACCCAUUUUACAGAUGAACAAAUUAAAACUUACAGAAAUUAAGGGAGCAGAUGUUUAAUCUACUGUUAACAUUUCAGUUAGGGUGCCAAUGUCCCACUUCACAGUACAUAGGUUCAAUACCUGGUUCCAGCUCCUGGCUCAACUUCUGAUAAUGCAAUGAUGACUAAAGUGACAUUAUUCUCUCUCUCUCUUUAAGACUGAUUUAUUUACUUGAGAGGCAGAGUUACAUAGACAAGGAGAGACAGAGAGAGAGAGGUCUUCCAUCAGCUGGUUCACUCUCCAAAUGGCAGCAACAGCCAGAGCUGGGCUGGUCAAAAGCCAGGAGCCAGGAGCUAGAAGUUUCUUCUGGGUCUCCCAUGUGGGUUCAGGGGCCCAAGCAGUUGGGCCAUCCUCCACUGCUUUCCCAGACCAUUAGCAGAGAGCUGGAUUGGAAGUGGAGCAGCUGGGACUUGAACCAGCACCCAUAUGGGAUGCCAGUGCUGCAGGGAUUUGGCAAACGAAGCCACAACACUAGCCCCUCAAGUGGUAUUAUUCUCACCACCUACAUAGAAGAAAUAGAUUGAAUUACCAGCUCCCAGCUUUUUUCUGGCCCAAUCCCAGUUAGCCACUGUGGACAUUUGGGAAGUGAACAAGUGUUUGGGAGUACCUGUGCUCUCACUGUGUAUGUGUGCAUGCACGCCUGUUUCUCUCUCUCAAGUUAAUAGAUUUUAAAAAUUGGUAUCCAACAUUGUGUAGCAGGUAAAGCUGCCACCUGCAAUGCCAGCAUUCCACAUGGGCUUUGGUUCGCAUCCCGGCUGCUCCACUUCCAAUCCAGCUCCCAAAUAAUGGCCUGAAAAAGCAGCAUAAGAUGGCCCAAGUACCUGGGCCUCUGUCACCCACAUGGGAGACCUGGAAAAAGCUCCUGGAUCCUGGCUUCAGCCUGGCCCAGCACUGGCCAUUGCGGCCAUCUGCAGGCAGUGAACCAGCAGAAGGAAGAUCUCUGUCUCUGUCUCCGCCUCUCUCUUGUAACUCUAACUUUCAAAUGAAUAAAUCUUUUUAUUUUUUUAAGUCAUUUACUCAGGGACCAUCUACUACAUGAAGAAUCUUAGGGCUCUGUUUCUGAUUCCAUGAUUUUAAUGACUAUGAAGCUAUCAAAUUCAUUAUCUUUUUUUAAAAGCUUGAGCAUAUUUCAGAUUUUUCCUAAAGCAUGCAUUCACACUCCCCUGUGUUUUAUUUUAGUAAAACUUCUUCAACAGGAAAUUUUAAUUAAGCCAGGAGUGGCAUCACAGAGAAUAGUGGAGUUUUUCCCUUGCCUGUAGUUUCUCUGAUCUCUGCUGUGGCCUAUAGAGGGUAGUUCCACUACUAAAGUCUUCUUAGUUAGGAUUACAAUUAUCAUAUGAAUUAUCUCUUUCUUGUAUAAUUGUUUAAAUGUAGCCAACAGAUGAAGUAACUAGUAUUAAGAUUUUUGCUGAAGUGAACUCUUUUUUUUAAAGAUUUAUUUAUUUGAAAGUGAGAGUUACACAGAGAGAGGAGAGGUAGAAAGAGAGAAGUCUUCCAUUCGAUGGUUCACUCCCUCUUGGCUGCAACAGGUAGAGCUGUGCUGAUCUGAAGCAAAGAGCCAGGAGCUUCUUCCAGGUCUCCCACCCAGGUGCAGGGGCCCAAGACUUGGGUCAUCUUCUACUGCUUUCCCAGGCCAUAGCAGAGAGCUGGAUUGGAAGUGCAACAGCUUGGACUCAAACCAGCACCCAUAAGGGAUGCUGACACUGCAGGUGGCGGCUUUACCCACUAUGUCACAGUGCCGGCCCCAUGAACCUUAUUUUUAAGGAUGAAUUUAUCCCAUGUGCUCUAAGGUUGAAGCACCUGUGGAAGAAAAAAUGGACUACUAUAAAAGCCACUCUUUUGUUCCUAUAUGAAACACAUGAAGAACAGUGUGUUUUCUAGGCAGUUUGAUGGGAGAGGUAGAAGGGUUUAGAUCUCUUGGUAACACUCCUUAUAAAUAAGAAAGCAUCCCUGAGCUAAACUACAAAGAAAUGGGGAACAUGGAGCUAUGUCAUGUUGGAAUGGAGACUUUGCUGGUUUUUUAUUUAUUUCUCUAGGAAGAGGAGAAAUGAGGCACUUGGGUAGGGAUGUAAAAAUUUGAAAACAAGGAUUGUAUUGUGUUUCCAUGUGAUAUAUAAUGAAAAUUCCCUGUGCAGAAAAGAGUACCCAUAGCAGGCCUAACUUCCGCCUUUUGGGAAGCUGCUCACGGGGUUGACCCUUGGUUAUUGUGUAGGAAUAUGGAUUUCAAGCCAGUUCCCACCAUCCUUGGAACUCGUAGAAGUUCCUCCUUGAGAUAAACUGUGGCAACGGUAUGUAUGGUUUAUCCUCAACACCUGCUUUCCUCCUGGGAGUCUGGAAUUCAUGUGCCAGGCAGAGGAUGUCUACAUGAUCAGCCCCAGGGCUCUGAGUCUCCAACAAGCUGCCUUGCUGGCGAAAGUCAGGAAGCAGUUGCCAGAGCCCCCCGCUAGAGGAACUGGGUGUAUCCUCUGUGGCUCCUCUGGGAGAGGAUCCUUGCAAGCUUGUGUGUGAUUCCCUAGGACCUCACUCCUGUGACUUUGCCCUUUGCUAGCUAUGUAUUCCUGUCCUUUGUGUAAUAAAUUCAGCCAUAAGUACCAUUGCUUGCAAAAUCCUGUCGCCUUAGCAAAUCAGCAAGCUGGGGGUGAUCUUGGAGAUGUCCACACAGUGCUUAAUGAUCACUGAAGAUCUUCAGUUUCUCACACAUCUAUUGAGUUUUUACCAUGUACAUAAGUACUUUUUAAGCCUGGAGAGUAUGAUAAUGAAAAAGGUGCAGCCUCUGUUGAAAAACCUCUGGUCCAGUGGAGUGAUUGUUACCCAAUGUUGAUUUUGUGCCUUAGGAGACAUUUGUCAAUGUCUGGAGAUGAUUCUGAUUGUCACCAUGGGGACAGUGCUAUUGGCAUCAAGUGGGUAGAAACUAAGUAUGUUAAUAAACAUUCGAUGAUAAAACAGUACAGCUUCCCUGCUCCAGCCAUCAUAAAGGUCUAUCUAGUCCUGAAUGUCAAUAGUGAGAGAUUGAGAAACUCUAAUUUCAUGGGAGAAGCACACACAUUAACAAAUUGGCAUCAAAUGAGUAGAAACUAAGUAUGUUGAUAAACAUUCUAUGAUAAAACCAUACACCUUCCCUGCUCCAGCCAUCAUAAAGGUCUAUACAGUCCAGAGUGUUAAUAGUGAAGAGAUUGAGAAACUCUGAGUUCAUGGGAGAAGCACACAUAUUAACAAAUCAUUUUAUUUUUUUAAAGAUUUAUUUAUUUAUUUGAAAGUCAGAAUUACAGAGGAGGCAGAGAGAGAGGUCUUCCAUUCACUGGUUCAUCCCCCAGUGGACCGCAAUGGCCAGAGCUGUGCCGAUCCAAAGCCAGGAACCAGGAGCUUCCUGCAGGUCUCCCACAUGGGUGUGGGAGCCCAAGGACUUGGGCAAUCUUCCACAGCUUUCCCAGGCCAUAGCAGAGAGCUGGACAGGAAGUGCAGCAGCUGGGUCUUGAACCGGUGCCCAUAUGGGAUGCCAGCACUGCAGGCAGUGGCUUUACCCUCUACGCCACAGCACAGGCCACACAAAUCAUUUUAACACAAUGUAAAACUAUUCACUGACUUCUAAAGCCCCAGCAGUCUUUCUCCUGCACUGCCUUAGUCAUCCAUCUCCAUUGAAGGGCCCCCCACCUACCAUCUUUUCACUUUCCUUUACUCUCAGGACCUCAUUUCCCUUGAUAAGAUUGAAUUCCAUCAUCAAUUACAGUAAAUAUUUCCUUUCAUAGCCCCCACAUGGCCACAUUCAUCUCCUAUUGUAGACCUAACUUGGAUAGUCAUGAUACUACUUAGAUCCUAAGCUACUACCUGCUCCAGACCCCAACUAUGCAAUAGCCUUUGACUGAUUUGUAGUAAACUGAUGGGCACUAACCAACAAGUAUGCCUUGAAUGCUGCCUGAUAUCAUAUUUUUUUCAUAAUUUAUUUAUUUGUUUGAGAGGCAGAGUUAGAGAAGGAGAGACAAAGAGAGAGAGGUCUUCCAGCCUCCCCAAAUGGCUGCAGUGGCCAGAACUGAGCCAACCCAAAUCCAGGUGCUUCUUGUGGGUCUCCCAUGUGGGUGCAGGGGCCCAAGCACUUGGGCCAUCUUCCACUGCUUUCCCAGGCCAUUAGCAGAGAGCUGAAUCAAAAAAGGAGUAGCCAGCACACGAAUCAAUGGUCAUAUAGGAUGUCAGGACACAGGUGAAGUUUACCUACUAUGCCACAGCACCAGCCCCUGAUGUCACAUUUUUACAGUCAAUAAUUUCAUAUUUUCUCUCUCAAAUCUUCUACACCUCCUGUCUCUUCUUUACUCUCAAAAUGCUCACCGAAUUUCCCACUUCUAUGAGAAAAUAAAAACAACUGGGGCCAGUACUGUGGCGUAGCAGGUAAAGCCACCACCUGCAGUGCUGGCAUCCCAUAUGGGAUGAGUCCCAGCUGCUCCACUUCCUAUCCAGCUCUCUGCUACAGCCUGGGAAAGCAGUGCAAGAUGACCCAAGUCCUUGGGCUCCUGCACCCACAUCGGAGAUCCAGAAGAAGCUCCUGGCUUCGGAUCAGCACAGCUCCCACAGUUGUGGCCGAUUGGGGAGUGAACCAUCAUAUGGAAGACCUCUCUCUCUCUCUCUGCCUCUCCUUCUCUCUCUGUGUAACUCUGAGUUUCAAAUAAAUAGAUAAAUCUUAAAAAAAAAAAAAAAAGAAUACCCACUAGUGUUCACCGCCACAGCUGCUUACCUGCAUGUAGUGAGCCCUACUGACUCUGUCUUUUUUCCAUGGAAGUGGAUGAACACCAUUCGUCAAUCAGUUCUAAACCCCUCUCAGUUGCUCAAAGACAUCUUUCUAGCAGCUCCAUCCCCUGUCUCCUGCAUCCUCAGCACUUUUUUCUGAACUCUCUCCCACUAACUCACAAAUAUGCUAUUAUUUUCCCCACCAAAAAGAAAUCUUCUCUUGACCCUACUUUUCCCUCUAUUCACUGCUCCAUCUCUUCUCUUUUCUUUACUGCAAAAUGCUCAGAAUGGUGUUUGCUAUUUGCUGCUCUGAAUUAGUCCUCCCUCAUUCUGUUUUGAGCCAGUUCAGGGUUUCCUCAACACUAUCUCCCCAGCUCUGCUCCUGUCAUCUUCCUACCUACUGUGCAGCAAGGCAAUUACCCUCCAGUAAGUCAGAUGGAAGACAAGUGCCAAAGGAAAGCCUUACCCUCCAAGACAGUGAUAAAGCCCACAGGUUUUCUGUUAAAGUAACUCUGCUAUUCCUAUUUUUUUUUAAGAUUUAGUUUACUUGAAAGAGUUACACAGAGAGAGAAGGAGAGGCAGAGAGAGAGGUCCUCCAUCCACUGGCUCACUCCCCAAUUGGCCUCAAUGGCCAGAGCUGAGCCAAUCAGGAGCCAGAAGCCUCCUCCAGGUCUCCCAUGCAGGUGCAGGGAUCCAAGGACGUGGGCCAUCUUCCACGGCUUUCCCAGGCCAUAGCAGAUCGAAAGCGGAGCAGCCGGGUCUCCAACCAGUGCCCACAUGGGAUGCCAGCACCGCAGGCAGCAGCUUUACCCACUCUGCCACAGCACCAGCACCCUCCUAUUUCUUUUAAGGAAUGUACAGUCCCUCUCAACUCUCUGAAUCAUGGCUUUCACAUUUAGCUCAUGAUACAAAUUGCUUUUUUAAAAAAUAUUUUAUUUAUUUGAAAGAGUUACAGAGAGAGGAGAGACAGAGAGAGAGGCCUACCAUCCAUUGGUUCACUCCCCAGAUGGCCGCAACGGCCAGAGCUGUGUCAAUCUGAAGCCAGUAACCAGGAGCUUCCUCUGGGUCUCCCACAUGGGUGCAGGGGCCCAAGGACUUGGGCCAUCUUCUACUGCUUUCUCAGGCCACAGCAGAGAGCUGGACCAGAAGAGGGAGCAGCCAGGAUAUGAACCGGCACCCAUAUGGGAUGCCAGUGCUUCAGGCCAGAGCACAGCACUGGCCCUGCUUUGUUCUCUUAAUAGCUCUAAGCUUAAUUUCAAUAAAAAUAGCACAAUUGGCCAAUUUAUGCUUUCAUCCUAGCCUAUAUAAUACCCACUAGGUUAUAGAGUAGUAGAUUUUUAUACGUUUACAUAUUUAUUUGAAAGGCAGAGUGUCAGAGAUGGAGAAAGAAAGAUCUUCCAUCUGCUGGUUCACGCCUCAAAUGGCUACAACAGCCAGGGCUGGGCUAGGCCAAAAACAGGAGCCAGGAUCUCCAUUCUGGUCUCCCACAUGUGUGCCAAGGGCCCAAGUACUUGUUCUCUUAUCUGUUGCCUUCCUAGCCAGUUGUAUUAAUAGGAAGCUGGUUCAGAAGUGGAGUAGCUGGGACUUGAACUGGCAUUCCAAUAUGGGAUGCCAGCACUGUAAGUGGCAGGCUUGACUUGCUGUGCCACAACACCAGCCCCAGACUGGGUGAUCUUAUUCAGGUCUAUACUGCCAGUCUAUACACUGGUCAUACCUAUAUAAAAAGUAGCCCAAUACUGUUUCUCUGAAUCAGUGCUGAGGGCAGGAAAUCUUUGUCCUGAAAAGAGCAAUAAACAUUAAAAAUAGUGACUCUCAGUAAAUGUUCAAUUAUUUCCUCAUUCUCUAAUGCCAUGGAUCACAUACUACCUUGUAAUACACUCAUCUAUAGGGAACUUCAAAAAUUUUCAUGGAAAUGGAAUUAAGGAGCCAUGCUGUGAAACAGUGGCUAAGCUACUGCCUGCAAUGCUAGCAUCCUAUAUCGGAGCACUGGUCUGAGCGCUGUUGCUGACCCAACUCCCUGCUAAUGCACCUGAGAAAGCACUGGAAAAUGGCCCAAGUACUGAAUCCCCUGCCACCCAUGUGGGAGACUCAGAUGGAGUUCCUGGAUCCUGCUUUUGGUUUGGCCCAGCCCUAGCUGCUGCAGCCAUUUAGGGAAUGAAGCAGCAGAUGGAAAAUCUCUCUCUCUCUCCCCCCAUCUCUGUCACUCUGCCUUAUCAAAUAAAAUAAAUCUUAAAGAAAUGAAAUGGAAUUGCAAGAUAAGUUUAUGUCAGUACAAAAUUAUUUUGAAGCCCAUGCAUAGUUUUUUCAUAAAAGUACAAUUUCCAUAAACUUUGGAGACCUCACAUGUUGUGCCCUAUGUGGUACCCCUUAGAUUUAAGUGCCUGCAUUCAAGGACUACAUACCAGUCAUUUCCAUAUUUCAGUGCAUUGACCCACAUUAGAGAAAUACAACAGGGAAGUUUGCCCUUUAAGUCUUGAACCUGAACCCCUGCCCUCUGAACUUUCUCCUCCUCUCCAGCUGCUCCUGGCAUCCCUAGCUAUAUGCUACACUGCCUAUGCUGUGAUGAAGGCUGGGCAGCUGUCAGAUUUACUGUUUUAUCCCAAGAACCUUACAACAUACCCUAGCCUUUGUAGAUUAUUGGUAAAUAUUACUUAAAUAAAUAACAAUCAAGCUUUGGUUUCUUUGAUUUCAUUUGUAUGGCUCCCCCCUGGCUAGCCACCUAUUAUAUUCUACUGAUUACACCUUUUUACUCAACCAUAUUUUUAAUAUAUAUUUUUAAAGAUUUAAUUUAUUUAUUUGAGAGGCAGAGAGAAGGCUUUUCCAUCAUCUGGUUCACUCCCCAGAUGGCCACAAUGGCCAGAGCUAGGCCCAUCUGAAGCCAGGAGCCAGGAGAUUCUUCCAGGUCUCCCAUGCAGGUGCAGCGGCCCAAUGACUUGGGCCAUCUUGCACUGCUUUCCCAGGCCAUAGCAGAGGGCUGGAUCAGAAGAGGAACAGCCAGGACAUGAACUGGUACCCAUAUGGGAAUGCUGGCACCACAGGCAAAGGCUUAGCACAGCAGAUCACAGCACCGGCCUUGUAAUCGUAUUCUAUACCCACCCUUGAAAUCCACAUUGAGAAGCCUGCCAAGGCAUGGUACAUUUGCAUGGCAUGCAAUAUAUUUCCAGCAAAUAGCCUUCAUGGAAAUAUAACACAUCACUGCAUAGGCACAGAGCUUGUUUAUAUGCGAUCAUUUUCCCCUCUACUCACCAUGAUGCUGGGCAAUAGAAAUUAGCUCAUUAAUAAUAAUGUAAAUGUCCCUGCUAAUAAAGAUAGGAGCUACAUUAGUGCCAAAUAACAUGCCUUACAGGACUGAGAAAUUUUAACAUGGGUCUGUGUUCAAUUGCUUAUUGUUCUAGGAGGGUUUUUGGCUGAGAUAAUCUCUAAGUCAUACUUUUAUCUACCAGCACUCAUGUUUUGGAAAUUUCUGUUCAUUAGCAUCACGACUAGAGGAGGAGAUAUACAUGGAGAAAAGAAACUAAAAUUCAAAUUUAUUAACUGAGUUGUUUGCCCAUAAGUCUGGUAUUUUUUUUUUAGAUUUGUUUUUUUCAAAAUUGAGAAGCACAAUCUGGUAGAAGGGGAAGGAGGCUGAAUCAGUGAAUAGAAAUGAAGUGUGAAGCUGACCUAUGGCAUUUCAUUAUCAGGAAUAUCCCUAUUUUGCAUUAAAAUGGAUCCUUGGAGACCAGUCAUAGUAGUAUCUAUGUGAUAGGCCUGUUUCUCUGGCUAUGGGGCAUGUGUAACAGAAUCUGGACUUGGGGUAGAGGAGAGGUUUGAGGGAGUUGUGAUGGAAAUGAACCAGAAUAAUGAAUUACACACACAUUUGAGUUGAAGCUGCUCCUGGCAAGCUGUAAAUUAUGAGAGUCAUUUAUAAGAGUCCAUAAUUGUUAAAGAAAUUUCUGUGUUACUCAUCAGGAGACAGAGCCAAUAAAAAAAAAAAAAUCAGUGCCAGCAAAGAAAAGAUUCUCCCUCCCCUCCCAUAUCAAUUAUUGGCUAUUCUCUGUUGAUGAUUGAGGAAUGACUAGCAACUUAAUUAACUCUUUUCCCAUUUAAGAAAAUCACAUUGCUUUGCUCCAAGCAUGCCCAUAAAAGCUAUGCAGAAGAUCUGCAGCUACAACGUAGAUUUCAAAAAAUCCCAAAGCUAGCGCCCCAGGUUCCAACACAAAGGCAGGAUAAAACAUAAUUUUAGCUCUUAUUUAAGAAGAUUAAAUUCUCCUUUAACACAAAACAUAUAUUUUGCUUUCUACAGUACUAUAUUAGACCAAAAAUUUGCACUUCAGAAAACCAGUUAGGAUUAGUUGUAUUUAUGAGAAGCCCAAAUUUGCUCAAAUCACACCAUUGCAAAGACUGACAUACACAGUCUGAGAGGAAAAACUAAUCAUAAACUUUUUUUUUUUUUUUGACAGGCAGAGUUAGACAAUGAGAGAGAGAGACAGAGAGAAAGGUCUUCCUUUGCCGUUGGUUCAGCCUCCAAUGGCCGCCGCAGCCAGCGUGCUGCGGCUGGCGCACCAUGCUGAUACGAAGCCAGGAGCCAGGUACUUCCUCCUGGUCUCCCAUGCGGGUGCAGGGCGCAAGCACUUGGGCCAUCCUCCACUGCACUCCCGGGCCACAGCAGAGAGCUGGACAAGAAGAGAAGCGACCCGGACAGAAUCUGGCACCCUGAUCGGGACUAGAACCUGGUGUGCCGGCACCGCAGGCAGAGGAUUAGCCUAUUGAGCCACGACACCGGCCUAUAAACUUUCAAAUACUAAUCAUUUGGAGCCAGCAUUGUGGUGCAAUGAAUUAAACUACCAUUUGUGACAAUAGUAUUCCAUGUUGCAGUGCUUUUUGAGUACUGGAUGCUCUGUUUCCAAUCCAGCUCCCUGCUAAUGCACCUGAGAAAGCAACAAAAAAUGGCUCAAGUACUCUUGGCCCCCUGCCUCCCAUAUGGGAGACCAGAAUGAAAUUUCUGGCUUCUUUCUUUGGCCUGGCCCAGACCUGGCUGUUGUGGCCAUUUGGGAAGUAAACCAACAAAUGAAAGAUCUCUCUCUCUCUCUCUCUCUCUCUCUUUUCUCUGCCAUUCAAAAAAAUCUUUUAAAAAAGAACUAAAAUACAAAUCAGUUGGGUUUUUAAAAAUAUUUAUUUGAUUGAUUAUUUAUGUAUUUAUCUGAAAGGCAGAGUUAGAGAGAGACAGAAGUUGAGAGAGAUCUUUCAUCCACUGGCUCACUUGCCAAAUGGCCACAACAGGAGGUGCUGAGCCAGGCUGAAGCAAGGAGUCUGUAACAACUCUCUCUGGGUAUCCCACACUGGUGGCAGGAGUCUGAUUACCUGGGCCAUCCUCCACUGCCUUCCCAGGCACAUUAGCAGGGAGCUGGAUGAGAAUGGAGCAGCCAAGACUCGAACUGGCGCUACUGGCUGCUCUGAUAUGGGAUGGUGGUGUCACAAGCAGCAGCUUAACAUGCUAAACCAAAAUGCUGGCCCCAAAAUCAGUUGUUAAACAUGUUAACUUUCUCUUUACUUCAACAAACUGUUUUGCCAGUUUUAUUUGGUAUCACUUGAAUAUUUUAAAUAUUCAUAACAUUGUUACAAAGUUCCUUGAAGAGCAGAUCAAACCACUGUAAGUCAUAAUAGUGUGAGAUUGUAUUUAUUUCAAUUAUUCACACAGUAGAAAUAAGGAACUUUGAAUUGGGGCAUUUUAUUUCAUGUGUUUGUUCUCUGUUGCAAGUAAAUUCUAAGUUAGCUAACAACCUUCCAAUAAUUUUGAUAUCCUUUCUUAUUCUAAAUAGUUCUACUUUCUUGAGUUAUGAUUUUAUCUAUUUUUCUCUAACCUAGUUUAAUUUGUUUUUAUCAAUUCAGAUGAGUAAAAUCAUUAUAGUGAGCAUUAUGGGGAAAUGCUGAGUUGGUAUAGACAAGCAUAUUGCCACCAGCGAGUUUACAUUCUAAUUGGAAUGAAUCAUGUCUACUUAAAUAACAAUACGGCAACAUGGACAUAGAUACUUGAGGAAGAGUGGUACACAUAAAGAUCCAUGAGAACUCUAAUAACAGAAAUAUUAAUCCCAGGGGCCAGUGUUGUGGUUAAGUCACCACCUGAGAUGUUGGCAUCCCAUGUGGGUGCCGGUUUGAAUACUAGCUGCCCUACUUCUGGUUCAGCUCCCUGUUAAUGUGCUUGGAAAAGCAGUAGAAGAUGGCCCAAGUGUUCGGGCUCCUGUACCCAUGUGGGAGACCCGGAAGAAGCUCCUGACUCCUGGCCUAGCCAUCUGGAGAGUGAAACAGCAGAUGGAAGAUCAACCUUUCUCUCUCUCUGUCUCUCUCUCUCACUCUCCCCCACUCCUUGUCUGUAUAACUCUUUCAAAUAAAAUAAAUAAAUCAUUAAAAAGAAGAAAUAUUCAUCUCAGGGAGAUGAAACAAGCAUCACAGAGAAAGUUAUGUUUGAGUUGAGCCUUGAAAGGCAGGCAGGGUUUGUAUUUCUGGGAUAGAAAAAUGCGAGCAUAUAAUUGGGUGAGAUAACCAAGCUUAGUGACUUACAGGGAUUUACAUUUCUCCUCUCUUUCAAGGUAUAGCUUCCCCAUACUCAUUUGGGAGCAUAUGGUAUGGUAUAGCCAGCUAGACCUUUAUGGCAAUGGUAUAUGCAGAAAUGGACCAUCAAGAGCUGUUACAGUAAAACAGACACAGAUAAACAUCAUCUUAACUGCCUCAUUAGAUGGUAACAAGCUGAUAUGCAAAUAAGUGGCCUGCACAAUGUGACCUCUUCAGGAAGAAAGGAGGGAGGGAGGGAGGGAGAGAAUGAAAGUACCCUGAAAUUUAUUCACAACAGGAAUUUUUUAAACAUUGGAAUAUCUUUAACUGUUGAUUAGUCUUCUAAGUAGCUUACAGCAGCUGCUAGAAAAUCCAGUGUUAGAAAGAAGAAAUCAUAUGCAGAAAGAAAAGAUGGGAGAAAUAGAUAUUUUUAAUUUUUUCCUUUAUUUGAAAGAGUUAGAGGCUGAGAGAGAGAAAGAGAAUAAAAGAGAGAAUCCUCCAUCAACUGGUUCACUCCCCAAAUGACAACAACAGCCGGAGAUGGUCCAGGCCAAAGCCAAGAGCCAAGUGCUUCAUCCGGAUCCCCCAUAUGAGUGGCAAGGGCGCAAGCAAAUAGGCCAUCUUCUGUUGCUUUCCCAUGUAUGUUAGCAAGGAUCUGGAUCAGACUUGGAGCAGCCCGGAGUCAAACAGAUGCCCACUUGGGAUGCCGGCGUCAGAGGCAACAGCUCAGUGCACUACACCACAGCACCGCCCCCAGAAGAGGUAUUUUUAAUAAUUUUAAAGUGGAUAUUUUUUAAAAAAGAUUUAUUUAGUUAUUUGAAAGGCAGUGCUACAGAGAGGCAGAGGCAGAGAGAGAGGUCUUCUAUCUGCUGGUUCAUUCCCUAGAUGGCCACAACAGCUAGAACUGAGCCAAUCCAAAGCCAGGAGCUAGGAGCUUCUUCUGGGGCUCCCAUUUGGGUGUAGGGGCCCAAGGAUCUGGGCCAUCUUCUAUUGCUUUCCCACACCAUAGCAGAGAGUUGGAUCCAAAGAGAAGCAGCCACAACUUGAAGCAGCACCCAUAUGGGAUGCCGGCACUGCAGAUGUCAAUUUUACCCACUACGCCACUGUGCAGGCCCCUAGAAAUGGCUGAUAUUUUAUGUCAACCAAUAACUCUGGAAAAUUUUCCUAGAGGGGCCAGUGUUGUGGCAUAAUUGGUUAAGCUGCCACUCACAACCCCAGCAUCAGAUAUGGGAGCUGGUUCGAGUCCUGGCUACUCAAUUUCCAAUCCAGCUCCCUGCUAAUGUGUCUGGGAAACAGUGGAAGAUGGCCCAAGUGCCUGGGCCCCUACGACUGUGUGGGAGACCUAGAAGAAGCUCCUGGCUCCUGGUUUUGGCCUGACCCAGCACUGACAUUGCAGCAAUUUGGAGAUGAACCAGUAGAUGGAAGAUAUCUGUCUCUCUAUCUAUGACUCUGCUUUUCAAACAAAUAAAAUAAAUCAUUAAAAAAUUCCUAGGACUCUUGGGACUAACUAUGAUUUUCUACUAUUUACCAAUAAAUUGGCAAUAAUGUAUGGAUGAGAAUAUUUCUAUAAUCCUUCCUAAUCACAAUAUGAUGCCCAGAAGCCCUAAAGAAAAAGAUCAACAUUUUUGACUAUAUAAAUAAUAUCUUUUGGGACUGGCUUAUUUCACUCAGCAUGAUGUGUUCCAGAUUCCUCCAUUUUGUGGUAAAUGACUGGAUUUCAUGGUUUUGUUUGUUUUUUUACUGCUGUAUAGUAUUCUAUAGAGUACAUGUCCCAUAAUUUCUUUAUCCAGUCUACUGUUGAUGGGCAUUUAGGUUGAUUCCAGGUCUUAGCUAUUGUGAAUUGAGAUACAAUAAACAUUAAGGUGCAGACAGCUUUUUUGUUUGCCAAUUUAAUUUCCUUUGGAUAAAUUCCAAAGGGACAAAUAUCAUAUGUUCUCCCUGAUUGGUGACAACUGACCGAGCACCAAAAAGGAAACCUGUUGAAGUGAAAUGGACAUUAUGAGAGACAGUGACUUGAUCAGCCCUUGCCCUGACUGUGGAUGAACAACUUAAUACUUUAUCCCUUUUAGUAUUUUUUUUGUUCUACUUAAUACUAUUGGUUGAACUCUGUAAUUAACACACAAUUAUUCUUAGGUGUUUAAAUUUAACUAAAAGUGAUCUCUGUUACAUAUAAAGUGGGAAUAAGAGAGGGAGGAGAGGUACAAUUUGGGACAUGCUCAAUUGGACUUGCCCCAAACGGUAGAGUUAGAAACAGACCAGGGGAUUCCAAUUGAAUCCCAUCAAGGUGGCAUGUACCAAUGCCAUCUCACUAGUCCAAGUGAUCAAUUUCAGUUCACAAUUGAUCAUAAUGAUAGGAUUAAGAGUUAAAGGGAUCACACCAACAAGACUAGUGUCUGCUAAUACUAACUGAUAGAAUCAAAAAGGGACAGAACUAUCCAAUAUAGGAAGUGGGAUACACAGCAGACUCAUAGAAUGGCAGACGUCCUAAACAGCACUCUGGCCUCAGAAUCAGCCCUUAAGGCAUGCGGAUCCAGCUGAAGAGCCCAUGAGAGUAUUUCAGACGUAGAAAGCCAAGACACUCUGGCAAAAAAAAAAAAAAAAAAAACUAAAUGAAGUAUCUCUGUGAGUGAGAUCUCAGCAGAAAGAACAGGCCAUCAAAGAAGGAGGCACCUUUCUCUGAAGGGAGGAGAGAAUUUCCACUUUGACUAUGACCUCGUUUAAGAUCAGAGUCGACGAACUCAAAAUGCUUCCAUAGCCUUGGCAACUCAUGACAAGAGCCUAGGGAGAUUACUGAGUGUCAAUUUGCUAAGUCAACAACAGGAGUCACCGUGCACUUACUCCUCAUGUAGGAUCUCUGUCCUUAAUGUGUUGUUCAAUGUGAAUUAAUGCUAUAACUAGUACUCAAACAGUAUUUUACACUUUAUGUUCUGUGUGGAUGCAAACUGUUGAAAUCUUUACUUAAUAUAUACUAAAUUGAUCUUCUGUAUAUAAAGAUAAUUGAAAAUGAAUCUUGAUGUGAAUGGGAUGGGAGAGGGAGCAGGAGAUGGGAUGGUUGCAGGUGGGAGGGAAGUUAUGGGAGGGAAGCCAUUGUAAUCCAUAAACUAUACUUCAGAAAUUUAUAUUUAUUAAAUAAAAGUUAAAAAAUAAAUAAUAUCUUUUAUAUAAAAACUCACUAUAAGCAAAAAUAAGAGACACUAAACAUGGAAGAAAAUAUUUUCAACAUACAGCAAUACUUCAAAAAGUUCAUAAAAAUGGUUUAAAAGAUUUAUUUUGGUGUAAAAAUAUUUAAUGCAUACUUGCAUGAAAGUGCAUAGGUAAAUAUCACUUUAUAUAGAAAGUUCUUUUUUUUUUCUUUUAAAGACGUUGUUAUUAGAAAUACAGAAAUACAGAAAAAAGUGGGAAGAGAGAAAGAGAUAUCUUCCAUCUGCUGGUUCACUCCCCAAAUGGCCACAACUGGGCCAAGCCGAAGCCAGGAGACAGGAGCUUCUUCCAGGUCUUGGGUGCAGGUUCCCAAGUACUUGGGCCAUCUUCUGCUGCUUUCCUAGGCAUAUUAGCAAGGAGCUGGAUUGGAAGGGGAGCAGCUGGGACUUGAACUGUCACCAUGUGGUAUGCUGGCGCUGGAGGCAGCCCCUCAAUCUUCUAAGCCACAACAACUGCCAACAAAUCUAAUUUUUUUAUGAAACAUAAUAAACAUCUUUAAAGAUAUGGAACUAUUUCCAAUGUAACUAGCAAUUAACUCAAAUUUAAACAACAAAUUGUUUUAUUUGCAAGACAGGUCAAGAUUAAGAGCAAUAAUAAUAUCUAGUGUUGGUGAAUAUAGGGAAUAUUACCAAGGUCAUGUACUUUUGUGAAAAGUAUAUUGAUUUUCAGCAAGCUAUUUGCAGUAUUUCUCAAAAAUACAUACUUUGAUCUAGUAGCUCUAUGUCUAUGAAGUCAACCUAUAAUAAUAAUAAUACAAAAGCACAUGAACCAUAUAUAUAAUUGCCUGUUUGUCAUAGCAAAAAAAUUACAAAAUUUAUCAAGAUAUUGAUUAAAUAUAUUAUCAUGAAUUUUUAUAAGGAUGUAUCCAUUUUGUAAUUUUAGCAAGGGGGAAAGGAAGGAGGGGGAAAUUGUUCAAAAUUAUUAAAAAUAAAAUUAGGGGCAGGCCCUUGGCCUGGUGGUUAAGCCACCAGCUGGGAUGCUCACAUCCCAUGUGGGAGUAGCUUGGUGUUUCCUGUUAAUGUGCAUACUGGCAGACAGCAGGUGAUAGCUCAAGUAAAUGUGUUCUCACCGCCCAUCUGGGAGACUUUGAGAGA
Non-coding RNA from Oryctolagus cuniculus (rabbit), 22825 nucleotides. The record is from RefSeq and is a predicted model, not a curated record. NCBI's taxonomy places the organism in Eukaryota, Metazoa, Chordata, Mammalia, Lagomorpha, Leporidae.